This 483-nucleotide ribosomal RNA is filed under the name uncultured bacterium. RNAcentral describes it as "partial 16S ribosomal RNA". It matches the Rfam family "Bacterial small subunit ribosomal RNA", at positions 30 to 507 of the family's 1533-position model. The record is from RNAcentral.
AUUGAACGCUGGCGGCAGGCCUAACACAUGCAAGUCGAGCGGAUGAAGGGAGCUUGCUCCUGGAUUCAGCGGCGGACGGGUGAGUAAUGCCUAGGAAUCUGCCUGGUAGUGGGGGAUAACGUCCGGAAACGGGCGCUAAUACCGCAUACGUCCUGAGGGAGAAAGUGGGGGAUCUUCGGACCUCACGCUAUCAGAUGAGCCUAGGUCGGAUUAGCUAGUUGGUGGGGUAAGGCCUACCAAGGCGACGAUCCGUAACUGGUCUGAGAGGAUGAUCAGUCACACUGGAACUGAGACACGGUCCAGACUCCUACGGGAGGCAGCAGUGGGGAAUAUUGGACAAUGGGCGAAAGCCUGAUCCAGCCAUGCCGCGUGUGUGAAGAAGGUCUUCGGAUUGUAAAGCACUUUAAGUUGGGAGGAAGGGCAGUAAGUUAAUACCUUGCUGUUUUGACGUUACCAACAGAGUAAGCACCGGCUAACUUCGUG